AUUAGUUAUCAAGAGGAAAAAGAAAAAAGAAAAAAAAUGUAAAUUGAAAAGAUGCUCCCUCUCCUUACGUUCCGCAUACGCAACGUUUUUCCCUUCUUCCAUCGAUUGUCGUUUAGCCCUAGCUUUGACGUUGCCAACCCCAACACAUCAUGCUGACACUGACGAUCGCCUUGCCACGCCAGUUCGUAGUCGUCCGCGCCGAUAGUCCCUCCCUCCGAGUUCUGCUUUCGUUGGCCAGCCUAGCAUGCCACGCCCAGCCGUCGGUCGAUUUUUUUGAUCCCAGUCACGUUGGUCGUCAUUCAAAUCUUGAACUGUUCCGCUGCACUUGUCUCUGUUUUGCCGUGCAGUUUUUGGUCACUGGAAUCUUGGAAUUUGGAGGACACUUGACGGCCUCAAGACUGCACUGAAUGAUAAAGUUGGUUUAUACAAGGAGAAGGUGAGGAGAAAUAAAAAUUAUGUUGUGAAGUGCUUGCUCCGUGGAUUUCCCAAAGCAUUCCAGGUGUGGACAUACAAGAUCCUAUCAUCAAUAGCAGGGAACGUCGCCACUCGAAAGAGCAAGGUAGCUGUGCCUCGUAUAUUACGGUGGUCAUGAACCCACUUGGUGUCAUUCAAAGUACUCGAGAGAGACGUUUUUGAGUCUCAAAAUACAAAAGUCAAACAGGGUCUUGUCAUGUCCGAUGCUGAGAAGGAGUUUCGGGACACCCCAAUUGAUAGACGGCUUGUAAGAUAAGUACAUUCUGACAUCGAGAGUCCAGGGAGCUCUAGUAGUUCAGAGAGUGGCAGUAGUUCAGACGAUAGUUCUGAAGGUAGGGAAGGUGAUGAGUAGGAUAAUUCAGAAGGUGGAGUAAGGGACAAAGAAUCUGAUACGGACAUGAACAUCCACCAAUCUACUUACACCCCCAGCGAGGAUAUGUUUCAUGAUGUGUUGAUGGGUGACGUACGUCUUGAGCUUGAGGAGGAGCAUUCUGUCCUCGAGAAGGACCAUUCUGAGCCUGAGGUUCCGGGUCACAAGGAGGGAGCCAAUAUUGAUCCUCUUGUAUAUUCGUACCUGUGGAGUAUUGACAGCUCAAUAUCGGGCUUGGAUGAUUGUGUAACGAAGGUGGAAAUUGACACAAAAGACAUCAAAGCACAAUUGUCAACCAUUUUGUCUCUAUUAUAGUCUAUGAAGGGUUCCACGGUGUUUGAGGUGACGAGGUCCCAUAUUCCAUAGACAGGCCACGAUGCCACGAUGUCACCCAGCCCGCCUCUAUCUCGGUCAACCACCCAACCUGUACCUAGGUCACCUAUUGAGCCUUUACCUAGGUCAUCUACCCCACCUGCAACUAGGUCACCUAUCCCACCUGUACCUAGGUUGCUUACCCCACCUCUACCUACCUCACCUGACACUAUACAUCUCGAUUCUUCUGUACAGCCUGAGGAGUAUGAGGUUUCACCUUCUGAGGAACACUCUGACACUAUACAUCUUGAUUCACAGGUUAUGGUUGAGAGUCGAAAAACAACACGUAAGAGAAAGACUGUUGACAAAUACACACCUCUAGUCGAACCAAAGAAGAAAAUAAAAAAACAGAAGAAAAUUGAGGUUCAACUUAUUUUGAAUUGUUCGGAUAUUAAGUACCCUCUCCCUGGGGUACCUACAACACUGUUUAAAGCGACGAUCCAGUACUCCUUGGAGCAUGAGGUUCCACAUGCUGUAUUCACGAAAAUGAUGAACUGAAUUGCUGAUAAUAAUACGGACAAUGAGGUUCGAGAAAAUGAAUUUCGGCCAUUGUCCAAGUUCUUUUUCUAGGAGUCGACCGAACCAAGUUCAUGAGUUAAGUGUGACUCACUUCCAAUUUCGAUGACCAAGUAAGAGAAAAUGGCAUCAACCGUGAAGGAGGAUAGCGAUCGAUUUUUUGAAUGCUUCAAAUGUGGCAUUUCUCCACCUCUUGUAGUCGGAACUUAAAUCAUAUGCUUCUCAACUAAUCGAUGGUACACUUGACAUGAAUGAGGAUGAGAUUUUCAUACGAGUAUUUGGACCGGAGAAACACGGGUGUGUUCAUGGUUAUGAAGUAGGUGUUACUCCUUCUGAGUUGUUUGGAUCGUCGUCUAGAAUACACAAUCUUGAGUGUCGCCAUAAUGAGUCCGAAGCUUCAAGAAUCUGAAUGACAAAGAAAAGAAUCUGAACAACAAAGAAAGGUUGAGGUAGAAGCACUUAGGCAUCAAAUAAGUGAAUUAGAAAAUCGUUUUGAGGAUAUAUUUCAAAAAAUGAUGACAGAG
Benincasa hispida (wax gourd) is the source of this 2256-nucleotide long non-coding RNA. RefSeq lists it as uncharacterized. The record is from RefSeq and is a predicted model, not a curated record. Lineage: Eukaryota; Viridiplantae; Streptophyta; Magnoliopsida; Cucurbitales; Cucurbitaceae.